UAAGCAUAUCAAUAAGCGGAGGAAAAGAAACCAACAGGGAUUGCCCUAGUAACGGCGAGUGAAGCGGCAACAGCUCAAAUUUGAAAUCUGGCCUCGGCCCGAGUUGUAAUUUGCAGAGGAAGCUUUAGGCGCGGCACCUUCUGAGUCCCCUGGAACGGGGCGCCAUAGAGGGUGAGAGCCCCGUAUAGUUGGAUGCCUAGCCUGUGUAAAGCUCCUUCGACGAGUCGAGUAGUUUGGGAAUGCUGCUCAAAAUGGGAGGUAAAUUUCUUCUAAAGCUAAAUACCGGCCAGAGACCGAUAGCGCACAAGUAGAGUGAUCGAAAGAUGAAAAGCACUUUGAAAAGAGGGUUAAAUAGCACGUGAAAUUGUUGAAAGGGAAGCGCUUGUGACCAGACUUGCGCCGGGCUGAUCAUCCGGUGUUCUCACCGGUGCACUCUGCCCGGCUCAGGCCAGCAUCGGUUCUCGCGGGGGGAUAAAGGCCCAGGGAACGUAGCUCCUCCGGGAGUGUUAUAGCCCUGGGUGCAAUGCCCUCGCGGGGACCGAGGUUCGCGCAUCUGCAAGGAUGCUGGCGUAAUGGUCACCAGCGACCCGUCUUGAAACACGGACCAAGGAGUCAAGGUUUUGCGCGAGUGUUUGGGUGUAAAACCCGCACGCGUAAUGAAAGUGAACGUAGGUGAGAGCUUCGGCGCAUCAUCGACCGAUCCUGAUGUUUUCGGAUGGAUUUGAGUAGGAGCGUUAAGCCUUGGACCCGAAAGAUGGUGAACUAUGCUUGGAUAGGGUGAAGCCAGAGGAAACUCUGGUGGAGGCUCGCAGCGGUUCUGACGUGCAAAUCGAUCGUCAAAUCUGAGCAUGGGGGCGAAAGACUAAUCGAACCAUCUAGUAGCUGGUUACCGCCAAAGU
This 899-nucleotide ribosomal RNA is filed under the name Achaetomiella gracilis. RNAcentral describes it as "LSU rRNA". It matches the Rfam family "Eukaryotic large subunit ribosomal RNA", at positions 35 to 967 of the family's 3401-position model. Lineage: Eukaryota; Fungi; Ascomycota; Sordariomycetes; Sordariales; Chaetomiaceae. The record is from RNAcentral.